Molecule: long non-coding RNA, 520 nt
Organism: Homo sapiens (human)
Lineage: Eukaryota; Metazoa; Chordata; Mammalia; Primates; Hominidae
Source: Ensembl
UAAAGGUGAGCCACAGACAUGCAGCACCACCAGAGACAACAACACCCCGUGGCAAGAAGACCAUGUUCUGGACUGUCUCCGUACUGCCACGGGCACAGAAGAAGAAGAAAACCACAGGAGUCCCAUGAAGGUGCAGAGGUCUACACAGGAGUUCAGGAUAGACACCUUGCUGGCAGGACAUGGCCACAGACUCCUCUAACUUAUUCCCCAAAGUGCAAGAGCAGGUCUUCUUCAGUCCAUCCUUCUAACCUGUCCAGAGCAGCUGUAUGCUUACUGCCAGAUCGCUCUACCCUUCUGGGGCAACAGGACUCGAGCCCUGAGGACUCUGCAAAGCUAGGCCCCUGAUGGUCUACUAUGCUUAGAGACCAUUAUGCAUGGGGCUCUUUGGGCUUCUAAAGGGCUCCCUGGGAGAAACUGCCUUCCAAAUCUGACUACUAAGAUGAUACUAUGGGAACAGAUUGUGAGGACAGAAAGAAAAAAAUAAAUAAAAAUUAAAAACGUAGAAAAAAGAAAAAAAAAA